Molecule: ribosomal RNA, 255 nt
Filed under: uncultured bacterium
Lineage: Bacteria
Description: partial 16S ribosomal RNA
Rfam family: Bacterial small subunit ribosomal RNA
Source: RNAcentral
UACAGAGGUCUCAAGCGUUGUUCGGAUUCAUUGGGCGUAAAGGGGUGCGUAGGGUGGCGGGGUAAGUCAGGUGUGAAAUUUCGGAGCUUAACUCCGAAACUGCAUUUGAUACUGCCUUGCUUGAGGACUGGAGAGGAGACUGGAAUUCACGGUGUAGCAGUGAAAUGCGUAGAUAUCGUAAGGAAGACCAGUGGCGAAGGCGGGUCUCUGGACAGUUCCUGGCGCUGAGGCACGAAGGUCAGGGGAGCAAACGGG